UACGUAGGGUGCAAGCGUUAAUCGGAAUUACUGGGCGUAAAGCGUGCGCAGGCGGUUUUGUAAGUCUGUCGUGAAAGCCCCGGGCUCAACCUGGGAAUGGCGAUGGAGACUGCAAGGCUAGAGUGUGUCAGAGGGGGGUAGAAUUCCACGUGUGAGCAGUGAAAUGCGUAGAGAUGUGGAGGAACACCGAUGGCGAAGGCAGCCCCCUGGGAUAACACUGACGCUCAUGCACGAAAGCGUGGGGAGCAAACAGG
Molecule: ribosomal RNA, 254 nt
Filed under: uncultured bacterium
Lineage: Bacteria
Description: partial 16S ribosomal RNA
Rfam family: Bacterial small subunit ribosomal RNA
Source: RNAcentral